RNAcentral lists this ribosomal RNA (95 nucleotides) under uncultured bacterium. RNAcentral's name for it is "partial 16S ribosomal RNA". It matches the Rfam family "Bacterial small subunit ribosomal RNA", at positions 1390 to 1482 of the family's 1533-position model. The record is from RNAcentral.
CCGCCCGUCACAUCACGAAAGUGGAUUGUACUAGAAGCUCGCGCGCUAACCCGCAAGGGGGGCAGCGGUCCAAGGUAUGAUUCAUGAUUGGGGUG